Molecule: ribosomal RNA, 253 nt
Filed under: uncultured bacterium
Lineage: Bacteria
Description: partial 16S ribosomal RNA
Rfam family: Bacterial small subunit ribosomal RNA
Source: RNAcentral
UACGGAGGGUGCAAGCGUUGUUCGGAAUUAUUGGGCGUAAAGCGCGUGUAGGCGGCGUGACAAGUCGGGUGUGAAAGCCCUCAGCUCAACUGAGGAAGUGCGCCCGAAACUGUCGUGCUUGAGUGCCGGAGAGGGUGGCGGAAUUCCCCAAGUAGAGGUGAAAUUCGUAGAUAUGGGGAGGAACACCGGUGGCGAAGGCGGCCACCUGGACGGUAACUGACGCUGAGACGCGAAAGCGUGGGGAGCAAACAGG